RNAcentral lists this ribosomal RNA (249 nucleotides) under uncultured bacterium. RNAcentral describes it as "partial 16S ribosomal RNA". It matches the Rfam family "Bacterial small subunit ribosomal RNA", at positions 338 to 579 of the family's 1533-position model. The record is from RNAcentral.
CCUACGGGACGCAGCAGUAGGGAAUCUUCCACAAUGGACGAAAGUCUGAUGGAGCAACGCCGCGUGAGUGAAGAAGGGUUUCGGCUCGUAAAGCUCUGUUGGUAGUGAAGGGAGAUAGAGGUAGUAACUGGACUUUAUUUGACGGUAACUACUUAGAAAGUCACGGCUAACUACGUGCCAGCAGCCGCGGUAAUACGUAGGUGGCAAGCGAUGUCCGGAUUUAUUUGGCGUAAAGCGAGUGCAGGCGGG